GACAGAGGUGGCUAGCGUUGUUCGGAUUCAUUGGGUGUAAAGGGUGCGUAGGCGGUUUAGAAAGUCAUAUGUGAAAGCCCACAGCUCAACUGUGGAAAUGCAUCUGAAACUUCUAGACUAGAGUGCGAGAGAGGUGAAGGGAAUUCCCGGUGUAAGGGUGAAAUCUGCAGAGAUCGGGAGGAACACCAGUAGCGAAGGCGCUUCACUGGCUCGCAACUGACGCUGAGUGCACGAAGGCGUGGGGAGCAAACGGG
RNAcentral lists this ribosomal RNA (254 nucleotides) under uncultured bacterium. RNAcentral describes it as "partial 16S ribosomal RNA". It matches the Rfam family "Bacterial small subunit ribosomal RNA", at positions 524 to 776 of the family's 1533-position model. The record is from RNAcentral.